CGCGGGAUGGAGCAGUUGGCAGCUCGUCGGGCUCAUAACCCGAAGGUCGUAGGUUCAAAUCCUACUCCCGCAA
RNAcentral lists this transfer RNA (73 nucleotides) under Vagococcus elongatus. It matches the Rfam family "tRNA". From Rfam's summary of the family: Transfer RNA (tRNA) molecules are approximately 80 nucleotides in length. Lineage: Bacteria; Bacillati; Bacillota; Bacilli; Lactobacillales; Enterococcaceae. The record is from Rfam by way of RNAcentral.